This 870-nucleotide ribosomal RNA is filed under the name uncultured bacterium. RNAcentral describes it as "bacterial SSU rRNA". It matches the Rfam family "Bacterial small subunit ribosomal RNA", at positions 35 to 902 of the family's 1533-position model. The record is from RNAcentral.
GCUAGCGGCAGGCCUAACACAUGCAAGUCGAGGGGCAGCACGUGUAGCAAUACAUGGUGGCGACCGGCGCACGGGUGAGUAACGCGUAUGCAACCUACCUUUUACCGGAGGAUAGCUCAGUGAAAACUGAAUUAAUACUCCAUAACACAGGGAUACCGCAUGGUAAUAUUUGUUAAAGCUCCGGCGGUAAAAGAUGGGCAUGCGUGACAUUAGCUAGUUGGUAGGGUAACGGCCUACCAAGGCUACGAUGUCUAAGGGGUCUGAGAGGAUGAUCCCUCACACUGGUACUGAGACACGGACCAGACUCCUACGGGAGGCAGCAGUGAGGAAUAUUGGUCAAUGGGGGCAACCCUGAACCAGCCAUGCCGCGUGAAGGAAGAAGGCCCUAAGGGUUGUAAACUUCUUUUGUACGGUGGUAAACUCCUCUACGUGUAGGAGAUUGAAAGUACUGUACGAAUAAGCAUCGGCUAACUCCGUGCCAGCAGCCGCGGUAAUACGGAGGAUGCGAGCGUUAUCCGGAUUUAUUGGGUUUAAAGGGUGCGUAGGCGGAUUUAUAAGUCAGCGGUGAAAGACUGUCGCUCAACGAUAGCAUUGCCAUUGAUACUGUAGAUCUUGAGUACACUUGAGGUAGGCAGAAUGUGUAGUGUAGCGGUGAAAUGCUUAGAUAUUACACAGAACACCAAUUGCGAAGGCAGCUUACUAAAUUGUAACUGACGCUGAGGCACGAAAGCGUGGGGAUCAAACAGGAUUAGAUACCCUGGUAGUCCACGCCGUAAACUAUGAUCACUGGAUGUAUGGGAUAUACACUAUGCGUCUGAGUAAAAGCAUUAAGUGAUCCACCUGGGGAGUACGUCGGCAACGAUGAAACUC